AACAAUGAUUUCCCUAGUAACGGCGAGUGAAGAGGAAAGAGCUCAAAGUUGGAACCUGUUUGGCCUAGCUAAACAGGAUUGUAAACUGUAGAAGUGUUUUCCAGGCAAUCCGAGUUAAUAAGUCCUUUGGAACAGGGCAUCAUAGAGGGUGAGAAUCCCGUCUUUGAUUCGAGAUAUUUUGUCUUUUGCGAUACACUUUCAAAGAGUCAGGUUGUUUGGGAAUGCAGCCUAAAUUGGGUGGUAAAUCUCACCUAAAGCUAAAUAUUGGCGAGAAACCGAUAGCGAACAAGUACCGUGAGGGAAAGAUGAAAAGAACUUUGAAAAGAGAGUUAAACAGUAUGUGAAAUUGUUAAAAGGGAACCGUUUGGAGCCAGACUGGCUUGUCUGUAAUCAAUCUAGGUUUCGUGCCUGGAUGCACUUGCAGACUAUUUGCCUGCCAACGACAAUUUUUUUUGAGUGUAAAAACUAUUGGAAAUGUGGCCAAUAUUUAUUUAUUGGUGUUAUAGUCCUUUAGAAAAUACCUUGAAUUGGAUUGAGGAACGCAGCGAAUGCUUCUCUUUUGAGGCAAAGUCUUUUAUUGGGAUUUACGGAUCAGACUGUGGCAUUGUCACAAGACUUGAAAGUUUAAACCUAUUUUUGAACUUUUAUUCGCUUAGGUUGUUGGCUUAAUGACUCUAAAUGAC
This 683-nucleotide ribosomal RNA is filed under the name Rhizopus stolonifer. RNAcentral's name for it is "partial large subunit ribosomal RNA". It matches the Rfam family "Eukaryotic large subunit ribosomal RNA", at positions 67 to 648 of the family's 3401-position model. The record is from RNAcentral. Lineage: Eukaryota; Fungi; Mucoromycota; Mucoromycetes; Mucorales; Rhizopodaceae.